Molecule: ribosomal RNA, 457 nt
Filed under: Munidopsis crenatirostris
Lineage: Eukaryota; Metazoa; Arthropoda; Malacostraca; Decapoda; Munidopsidae
Description: partial 16S ribosomal RNA
Rfam family: Bacterial large subunit ribosomal RNA
Source: RNAcentral
CCUGCCCAUUGAAUUUUUAAAAGGCCGCGGUAUUUUGACUGUGCAAAGGUAGCAUAAUAAUUAGUUUUUUAAUUGAAAACUAGAAUGAAAGGUUGAACAAAGAAAAAUCUGUCUUUAAUUUUUUUUUUGAAAUUUACUUUUAAGUGAAAAGGCUUAAAUUAAUUUAAGGGACGAUAAGACCCUAUAAAUCUUUACAUUUAUUUAAUAUUUUAUAAUUAAGUUGUAAAUUUAUUAUUAUAUUAAUAAUAUGUUAUAUUGGGGUGAUAAUGAUAUAAUAAAAAACUGUUUUAAUAAAUAAACAUGUAUAAUUGAAAUUUAAAAGAUCCUUUAUAAAGAUUAAAAGUUUAAGUUACUUUAGGGAUAACAGCGUAAUUUUUUUUAAGAGUUCUUAUCGAAAAAAAAGUUUGCGACCUCGAUGUUGAAUUAAAAUUUCUUUAUAAUGCAGAAGUUAUAAAAG